Non-coding RNA from Ciona intestinalis (vase tunicate), 714 nucleotides. The record is from RefSeq and is a predicted model, not a curated record. Lineage: Eukaryota; Metazoa; Chordata; Ascidiacea; Phlebobranchia; Cionidae.
CCCAUUACCUCCGUGUUGGAGGCAGGCAUGCUAACCACUUUGCCACGGCGCCAGACAUGCAUAACUUUUGAGUAGAUCCCAAAAUGGGCACUACGGUUGAAUAUAAAUUGGAGACGUUGAAGUAAAUCAGAUCAUUUAAAAAAUAGGAUUGCAAGGCAUUAUUGUUUUUUCGAAACAGAGGAGAAACUAUAAGUUAAUAACCUAAUUGAGUGACAAUGUAAUUAAGUGUUUAAACAUAAAAAAUCUUUUUCGAGAAAUUUUUUAUUUGUGCAAACCUUUCGUUUUUGAAAACUUUACACUUAUGAUUAAAAUGCAUUCUCUUGGCAUAUUUGGACAUGGAGACUUACAAUUUACCUAUUCAAACUGAAACCAAAUAACGAAGGGGCUGAUGCACCAACCUCAUUCAAGGGGCAAGAAAUAAAGACAAAUUGUAGGAAAAUCUAUUCUUCUCAAUGUAAAUUCUGAUGAUGCCUAGCGUAGCUCUUCUAGUCAAGCAAUUCUACUGUUGCUGAAUUGAAUAUUUUUGGCAACAAGGAUUAAUGCUCUUCUUAUACUAAAGUUUUUAAUACAUAAUCACAACACACAUACAAAUAAAUGCAAAAGUCGUUUAUUUUUUAUCCCAAGUCUCUCUGUUUUGUAUUAAACGACACAUGGAGCAGGAUAGAUUGUGAUGUCAUCAAUCAUAAUUGUGAACACAGUCUCUGUGUCGCGUAU